This 1187-nucleotide long non-coding RNA is filed under the name Macaca fascicularis (crab-eating macaque). RNAcentral's name for it is "lncRNA (ENSMFAG00000050745.1)". The record is from RNAcentral. Lineage: Eukaryota; Metazoa; Chordata; Mammalia; Primates; Cercopithecidae.
CCACCGGCGAUGUCGGUAUGUCAGCGUGUGUGCCACCGGUCAUCUGUGUGUGGUGCGUGUGUCUCCGCACCACGACUCCCUCUCCUGGGUCUGCGCAGUCCACGGAAGCAGCUCCCCUUCAGCUGUUGCCAGAAAACCGGGGAGGAAAGGAAGAAAAAUCAAUCAAACAGACCUUUGAUGGGGUCGCGGCAAGAUCACAUUUCACUGUGCUCCAGGCUUACCUCUUCUUAGGCCCCUCCCUGCUGUGAGUCGUAUGCAGGUAGUAUGCAAAACUCUAGAAAUAAUAUUUGAAAAAAUUAACACCUUGUUUAUCUCUUCUGUGUAUUUGACAUGGGGGUUUCUUUCUUUUCCUGUUUUGGUGUUUAAUACAAGGCUGAUAUGUUGGAACAGAAAGCGGACUUCAAAGAAACUAAAAUUAGGAGGCAAAUAGCAUCAAGGUUUCCUCAAUUUCUGUAGGUAGUACAAAUAGUAUAGCAUCUUUUCAUCCAAAAAGAAGCAAAAAUUGCCAGGAGGCAAAAUGCAUCUCUGAAUAUGCCUUUAAAAAAAAAAACAAAUAUUCCCCAAAUAUUGAUGUACCCAUGGUUUUACAGUCUGAAAAUAUUUUUAGGCACAAAUAUGGCAUAAAAACAUUAGUUUCAACUCUGUCUUUGUUGUUGUUAAAAUGACAGUAAAUUAUACUUGAUUUAAAAAUACCUAUCUGCUAAUGUCAAUUGAGGUUAUUUUAAGGCCUGGAUGCUCUAGGAAGACCACCUAUAAUGUGUUUAUUUCUCUGCCCAAUUCACCUAUAGUGUAAGGAGCAUUUUAAAUAAAAUAUUUUGGGCAUCCUUAAGUCCUUUGUUAAAAAUCCAAUACUCUACAAUUGUGACAAAUAGGCUGAAAAUUUUUGUUUUUUUUUAUACCAAAUUCAUUUUAAUAAAUAAAGCAUAUGCUGAGAUUUUAAUACAACAAAUGCCAACAAAAUGCAUCAGAGUAGAAAAAAGAAAAUAUUUUCAGAAUUGCUUAUAAUAUUGCUUGUGAUCCUAAAUUUUUUGAUGUAAGGAACUUGAAUUUUUCAGCUAAUAUUAUUCUGUUUUCUUACUCUAUGUUUCUAUUAGAACACUCACCUAUGCUCUGCUUCCCUUGCUGUCUUCCCAUAGCUUAUGUGUGCACUAUGAAUUUCAAUAAAUAUAAAUUACUGCUUAAAAGAG